UGCAAGUCGAACGCUUCUUUUUCCACCGGAGCUUGCUCCACCGGAAAAAGAGGAGUGGCGAACGGGUGAGUAACACGUGGGUAACCUGCCCAUCAGAAGGGGAUAACACUUGGAAACAGGUGCUAAUACCGUAUAACAAUCGAAACCGCAUGGUUUUGAUUUGAAAGGCGCUUUCGGGUGUCGCUGAUGGAUGGACCCGCGGUGCAUUAGCUAGUUGGUGAGGUAACGGCUCACCAAGGCAACGAUGCAUAGCCGACCUGAGAGGGUGAUCGGCCACAUUGGGACUGAGACACGGCCCAAACUCCUACGGGAGGCAGCAGUAGGGAAUCUUCGGCAAUGGACGAAAGUCUGACCGAGCAACGCCGCGUGAGUGAAGAAGGUUUUCGGAUCGUAAAACUCUGUUGUUAGAGAAGAACAAGGAUGAGAGUAACUGUUCAUCCCUUGACGGUAUCUAACCAGAAAGCCACGGCUAACUACGUG
Molecule: ribosomal RNA, 480 nt
Filed under: Enterococcus hirae
Lineage: Bacteria; Bacillati; Bacillota; Bacilli; Lactobacillales; Enterococcaceae
Description: bacterial SSU rRNA
Rfam family: Bacterial small subunit ribosomal RNA
Source: RNAcentral